Molecule: ribosomal RNA, 252 nt
Filed under: uncultured bacterium
Lineage: Bacteria
Description: partial 16S ribosomal RNA
Rfam family: Bacterial small subunit ribosomal RNA
Source: RNAcentral
UACGUAGGGGGCAAGCGUUGUCCGGAAUUAUUGGGCGUAAAGAGCGUGUAGGCGCCAGGUAGGUCUGCUGUGAAAACUCGAGGCUCAACCUCGAGACGUCGGCGGAAACCAUCUGGCUAGAGUCCGGAAGAGGAGAGUGGAAUUCCUGGUGUAGCGGUGAAAUGCGCAGAUAUCAGGAAGAACACCCGUGGCGAAGGCGGCUCUCUGGGACGGUACUGACGCUGAGACGCGAAAGCGUGGGGAGCGAACAGG